This 403-nucleotide ribosomal RNA is filed under the name Verrucomicrobiota bacterium. RNAcentral describes it as "Verrucomicrobia bacterium partial 16S ribosomal RNA". It matches the Rfam family "Bacterial small subunit ribosomal RNA", at positions 355 to 776 of the family's 1533-position model. The record is from RNAcentral. Lineage: Bacteria; Pseudomonadati; Verrucomicrobiota.
UGGGGAAUAUUGCACAAUGGGCGCAAGCCUGAUGCAGCAACGCCGCGUGAACGAUGAAGGUCUUCGGAUCGUAAAGUUCUUUUGCAGGGGAAGAUAAUGACGGUACCCUGUGAGGAAGCCCCGGCUAACUACGUGCCAGCAGCCGCGGUAAUACGUAGGGGGCUAGCGUUAUCCGGAUUUACUGGGCGUAAAGGGUGCGUAGGUGGUCUUUCAAGUCGGUGGUUAAAGGCUACGGCUCAACCGUAGUUAGCCUCCGAAACUGGAAGACUUGAGUGCAGGAGAGGAAAGUGGAAUUCCCAGUGUGGCGGUGAAAUGCGUAGAUAUUGGGAGGAACACCAGUGGGAAAGGCGGCUUUCUGGACUGCAACUGACACUGAGGCACGAAAGCGUGGGUAGCAAACAGG